UCCCACCCCAGUGCUGCUGGAAGAGGCCAUCGAGGAAGGUCUGAUGAGCUGAAGAAAGGCUUCAAACAGAGGAUGGGGAUCCCAGAGGACUCCAGGGGCCCAGGGGACACAGGCAGGACAUCAGUUGUGCCCACUGAGGUGUUUGGACAUAACAACAAGAAAAGUAACAAAUGUAACCAACUCUACACAGCUGCUGACGCUAAACUGUGAGCGGGGGACACGCCAGAGAUGCCUCAGGAGCAUUCGCGUAAGGGAGAAGGCUGGUUGGAGGGCUCAAAUACCCAAAACCACAGCAGCUGGAUGUUGCCACAGAGAUGGGCUGUGGAAGCCAUGUGACAGGAUGCACAGGAGCCGGGGCUCACCUCUCCGGAAUCAACAGCUGCAUACAUUAUGUCCAUCCAGCCUUUGAAGGUUGCCUGGAAACAAGAAGGUGGAGGACAAUCAGUGUCUGUCCCUUUAACUGGCUCUACAGUAGCUCAAUGGGAGGGAGAGAGAGAGAGCAAGAGACUGAGUGAAGAAGGCUGGGGAGGAGAGAGCUCAGGCAGAAAGGGAAGAAAGGGGAAAGUCUCUCGGUGACUUGACUGACUUCACACGACUUCAAGAAAUCCAGAAUAGUGUGGUACUGAAGACGUGGAAUCUCCUAGAAUAUGCUGGGACUCUACUUAUCUAGCUCUAGGGACAACAGGUACAGGCUGUUCUGUGCUCUGCCGGGCCGACAUUUUCUCGGUCACUUCCCCGCUAAUGCGCGUGACAUAAGAAACACACCUGAAAGUGGGAACAAGACCACGUCUCCUGCCUACAGUUUCAACAUCAUUUUUUUUGAAAGCUAAGAUGGUGGCCAACAAGCUCUCCUGAUGUUUCUGAUUCCACGUCCCCAGCACUGGGGUUAUAGACAAGUGCCGACAUGACCGGAAGUUUACAUGGUUGAUGAGGAUCUGAACUCAAGCCUUCCUGCUCACAUAAUAACUCCUCAAGAGUCACCUCCCCGGCCCAGUUUUAGCAUCCUUGAGGCGUCAAAAGCAGAUGUGCUUUGUAACGUAUCUCAGGCACGAAGCCUGUUACAGCACUUGAGUAACGUAUUUGUCCGGUUUUCUCGUGAGCCCCAGCUCCUGCGUCCUGUCCUGACUAUAAUCUCCAGUGGUUGAGCAUAGUGCCCGAUAGACCACAGAUACACAGAGGUUACUCAUUCCUCGAAUGGAUGAGCAAGGGGUGGAAGAAUACAGGAACUCACCGGCGAAUGAAUGUGGCGGAUGCUUGGGGAACUGCAGCCACAUCACAGUGAACCCAGGACUGAAUGAAGGUGUGGAUAUAGACAACUGAACGGCAUGAGUACACGUGACCGUUGUCACCAAUGCUACCCGUCACUGAAACAAACUUAAUUAGCUGUGACUAUCACACAGGAGAUAACAAGACAUGACAGGUAAAGCCCUGUAUACUCCCCUGCUCUGUACAUCUUAUCAUAGCUAUCUCUCACGAUAGCCUCAUGGACGGCCGGUCUUCCUAUUUUAUUAUCUUAGCCAGACUUGGCCAACGGUAGCCCUGUGAGCUCACACUCAUUAGUGAGGGCUUCUCAUUUAGGGCUAUCGUCUGUGGAAAUACAGAAUGGUCUCAGCUCACGCUCAGUGCUGCCUCUUGUAGGAUCUCUAUGCAGUGCCUUCUGGGAGAAGCUCCAUUUACUGAGCAGCCAAAGGAGAGAAAAUGAUGGAUCUCAAACGACUCACCACCUGAAGAAGUGCGAGGUAGCCCAUAGCGACGUUGUCGAAGUUGACUUUGACGUUGACCCAGAAGAAGUGGCCGGUGCUGUUUUGAUUGUGACACUCGGACUUGUUAUUCACCAUCGUCGAAUUCACGUUGGAAAAUGGGUUAUUUCUGGUGUCGACGCACUUCGAAAAUUUCCCGGCGAAGAGGUUCACGCCCAUGAUGCUGAAGAUGAGCCAGAAGAUGAGGCAGACGAGGAGGACGUUCAUGAUGGAGGGGAUGGCGCCCACGAGGGCAUCCACCACUACCUGGUGGGAAACAGGAAAGGACCUGAAGUUCCCAAAUGUCACUUGUCUGUGCUUCUUACAUGCACACAUACCUGCACAUGGAGACAACCCUCAGUGUCACCUUCAGGAACCCCACCCACCUCCUCUGAGGCAGUCUUUCAUGACCUAGAACUCACCAGGUACAGUAGACUGGCUGCUAGUGAGCCCAGGGACCUGCUCGCCUCUACCUCCCCAGCUGAGAAGCUCUCUCUGUCGGCACACAUGCACCUCUGUCUGCACACAUGCACCUCUUUGCUUGCCUUUAAAAUUAUGCCUUUUACAUGGGGUCUGGGACUUGAAUUAGAGCCUCACGUUUGCAAGGCGAGCUCUGUGCUGAUUGAGCCAUCUCUCCAGCCUACAGCUGAUCUGAAAACCCCACUGUUGUUUGCAAAGAUGUGGUGACUGCUUUGAGCCGGUGGUGGCGGUGGAACUGGGAGGAAACUGGCCACAGAAAAGGACAGGGUGGGUGGAGAGAAAGCCACAGGGCAUAGAGGCUGUGGCCAGAGCCAGGACACCUUCAGGUGGAUUCUGGCUGAGGUGCUGGGUGGAGGUUAUCUCUACAUUGCCAAAGACUGCCAGAGGAAAGAUUCACUUGAAUUGGGACACUGGGCGCCCUGGAUGUAUUUAGGAAUAAAACCCUGAGACAUAGAAUAACCAGGACCACUUCCCUGAGGGCGUAAGGGGUGGCAUUGGUGGGUGAUGAGAAAAGAGGUUCUGAAGAUCAGACUUGAGGGAGACAAGAGAGUUAGCCAACACAAUGUCCUCAGAGUCUGAACAGGAAGGGACAACGCAGAGGUGACAUGGGGGUGGGGGAAGUUGGAGAAGGUUUGCGAAACGCUGCCAAUCAGAGAAGUCCCAAAACGUGUCUUACCCUCAUGCCUUCGAAUCGAGACAGAGCCCGCAGCGGUCGGAGGGCACGGAGAGUCCGAAGGGCUUUGAUGGACGCCACGUCGGAAUACUCAAGGAUCUUCGCUAUGAGGCUUGUCAGGGAGAUCUGGUACAGACAGAGACCAAAGCAUUGUCCCAGUGCUCUAGAAUGUCAUCUGGUGGAAAGAGGCAGCAGCUCUGUGCCCUGCCUCCUAAGCCCUGCCUGCCCUCUCUCUCUAGCCCAUUGCCCUGGCUCCCACCUUUUUCUGAACCCUUGAAUGUCCUUUUCCUUUACUGAAUUAAAAUGCUUAUGAGCAUAUAUUAAUUAUA
Molecule: non-coding RNA, 3221 nt
Organism: Rattus norvegicus (Norway rat)
Lineage: Eukaryota; Metazoa; Chordata; Mammalia; Rodentia; Muridae
Source: RefSeq, a predicted model, not a curated record